Molecule: ribosomal RNA, 468 nt
Filed under: uncultured bacterium
Lineage: Bacteria
Description: partial 16S ribosomal RNA
Rfam family: Bacterial small subunit ribosomal RNA
Source: RNAcentral
GACGAACGCUGGCGGCGUGCUUAACACAUGCAAGUCGAACGGAAAGGCCCUGCUUUUGUGGGGUGCUCGAGUGGCGAACGGGUGAGUAACACGUGAGUAACCUGCCCUUGACUUUGGGAUAACUUCAGGAAACUGGGGCUAAUACCGGAUAGGAGCUCCUGCUGCAUGGUGGGGGUUGGAAAGUUUCGGCGGUUGGGGAUGGACUCGCGGCUUAUCAGCUUGUUGGUGAGGUAGUGGCUUACCAAGGCUUUGACGGGUAGCCGGCCUGAAAGGGUGACCGGCCACAUUGGGACUGAGAUACGGCCCAGACUCCUACGGGAGGCAGCAGUGGGGAAUAUUGCACAAUGGGCGGAAGCCUGAUGCAGCAACGCCGCGUGCGGGAUGACGGCCUUCGGGUUGUAAACCGCUUUCGCCUGUGACGAAGCGUGAGUGACGGUAAUGGGUAAAGAAGCACCGGCUAACUACGUG